Molecule: long non-coding RNA, 991 nt
Organism: Mauremys reevesii (Reeves's turtle)
Lineage: Eukaryota; Metazoa; Chordata; Testudines; Geoemydidae
Exons: 2
Source: RefSeq, a predicted model, not a curated record
CACCCUUCUCAUCAGCAUAGCUCUCUGCUGCAUAUUCUGAAUGCAUUCUCUACAUUAAACUGCCACUGGUAUCAGGGAGACAGUAUAAUACUAUACAUUUCUCUAGGACCUUUCAUCUGAGGAUCUCAAAUAAUUAAGACUGACAGCAUCCCUGGGAGAGAGGGAAAUAUUGUUAUACCAGUUUACAGAAUUGUGAACUGAGUGGUGAAGAGACAUGACUCACCACGUGUUACAUGAUGGAGUCGGUCCCACCUCUUAUAACUAAGAGGGCCCAGCUAUCUUCACCUAUCAUUCAGCCUAAAGCAGGCCCUAUUUUCUCCACCAAGACAGCACUGCACCUGUGAAAGAGCCUCAAGUAGGCCAAUUCCAUGCAAGGCAGCAACAAUCCAAAGGUCAGGGGAAAUGAGAAGACUGACACUACAUCAGCAGCUCAAAGAAUCUGCAUAUGCUGGUGGUGGAAACUGCUCAUGAUUGUGAUUACAGACAGUUAGCAGCAAACUGGACUGACUCAAGCAUCAUGUGGGGCAUAGGAGAGGGAUUUACAGCAUUAGAUACACAAAUCUCCCAUACAGAGACAUGUAGAGUGUGCUACAGAAAUUCACAAUCUCUUAACUGUGGUGUGGAUUUUAAAAGUACAUUUGUAUCCAGUGUGCAUAUAAUUUCUGCUAGUUAAACAGAAACCAUCAUUGCUGUACCUACACAUACCUCUAAAGCAUCCCUUGUGCCCGGAUGGGGUGUUGCAAGGGACUUCCCCCUCUCAUGCUGCUUCCUGCUGGUAGCCACUUCAUUGGCUGCAAUGGCCAGUUCUAGGCAGGGUGUUCUCCAGUUUCCCUCUCUGAGUUUUCUGUGGCUCAACCCUCCAGCCAAAUUAAACAACAAAACAUCCAAUUUAAAGUCCAAAUCAAAUGCCCAGACUAAUAGCUCCUCUGCGCUGCUCGGGGUCUCCUGAAGUCUUCUGCUUCCUGGCUCCUUCUCCUGGGCAGAGCUUUUU